RNAcentral lists this unclassified non-coding RNA (445 nucleotides) under Melitaea cinxia (Glanville fritillary). RNAcentral describes it as "misc RNA ENSMCXG00005006520.1". The record is from RNAcentral. Lineage: Eukaryota; Metazoa; Arthropoda; Insecta; Lepidoptera; Nymphalidae.
UACAACCAAUAAUUGUGUUUGCUUGCAAACGAAAAAAAAAAACCGACUUCAAUUACAUCGACGAGUAAUACAGCGUAGAUCGACGAAAAAAUAGUCAAGAAACUACGCGUUAUCAAAGAUUACUCAAAAAUAGUUAUCAGAUCUCGAUAAAAUUUAUAUGUGACCACAUGAUAAACAUCAGCUUUCGAUUAAAUUAAAAAUUAUCAAAAUCGGUACACUCAGUAAAAAGUUAUUACGGAUUUUCAAGAGUUUCCCUCGAUUUCGCUGGGAUCUCAUCAUCAGAUCCUAGUUUCCUUAUCACGGUACCAAACUAAGGAUAUCUUCUUUCCAACAAAAAAAGAAUUAUCAAAAUCGGUACAUCCAGUAGAAAGUUAUGCGGUAUAAUACAACGUAAGUCGACAAAAAAAGCGUCAAGUAAAAACGCAUUAUUAGAUAUAACUCGAAA